AUCUUCAGGGCAGGGUUGAUUUCCCGACCGGCGGUAAAGUCCGCGAGCGCCUGUGCGCAUGAUCCGGUGAGAUUCCGGAACCGACAGUAAAGUCUGGAUGGAAGAAGAU
This 109-nucleotide non-coding RNA is filed under the name pig gut metagenome. RNAcentral describes it as "FMN riboswitch (RFN element)". It matches the Rfam family "FMN riboswitch aptamer (RFN element)". Rfam says of the family: The RFN element is a highly conserved domain that is found frequently in the 5'-untranslated regions of prokaryotic mRNAs that encode for flavin mononucleotide (FMN) biosynthesis and transport proteins. This element is a metabolite-dependent riboswitch that directly binds FMN in the absence of proteins. The record is from RNAcentral.